UACGAAGGGGGCUAGCGUUGCUCGGAAUGACUGGGCGUAAAGGGCGCGUAGGCGGCUUGUAGAGUCGGGUGUGAAAUUCCUGGGCUUAACCUGGGGGCUGCAUUCGAUACGUAUGGGCUUGAGUGCGGAAGAGGGUCGUGGAAUUCCCAGUGUAGAGGUGAAAUUCGUAGAUAUUGGGAAGAACACCGGUGGCGAAGGCGGCGACCUGGUCCGUGACUGACGCUGAGGCGCGAAAGCGUGGGGAGCGAACAGG
This 253-nucleotide ribosomal RNA is filed under the name uncultured bacterium. Its description in RNAcentral is "partial 16S ribosomal RNA". It matches the Rfam family "Bacterial small subunit ribosomal RNA", at positions 524 to 776 of the family's 1533-position model. The record is from RNAcentral.